This 233-nucleotide ribosomal RNA is filed under the name uncultured Lactobacillus sp. Its description in RNAcentral is "partial 16S ribosomal RNA". It matches the Rfam family "Bacterial small subunit ribosomal RNA", at positions 129 to 355 of the family's 1533-position model. The record is from RNAcentral. Lineage: Bacteria; Bacillati; Bacillota; Bacilli; Lactobacillales; Lactobacillaceae.
CCCAAGAGAUCGGGAUAACACCUGGAAACAGAUGCUAAUACCGGAUAACAACAGAUGAUGCCUAUCAACUGUUUAAAAGAUGGUUCUGCUAUCACUCUUGGAUGGACCUGCGGUGCAUUAGCUAGUUGGUAGGGUAACGGCCUACCAAGGCGAUGAUGCAUAGCCGAGUUGAGAGACUGAUCGGCCACAUUGGGACUGAGACACGGCCCAAACUCUUACGGGAGGCAGCAGCA